UGGGGGGGGGGGAAUUCCGACCGCUUUGCACCCGAAACACCCCCCGCUCCCUUCUCAGGUCUCUCCUUUCUCCUUCUGCUCUUCGCUUCUCCUCUUUCGUUCUAAGAGAGAUUUUUCUGCUGUUGUUUUCCUCUUUCAAACACCGCCUGCACAUUCCAGCCUGGAGACGAGCAAAGGAUGGGCUGAAAACAAACAAACAAAAAAAAUCCUCCAGGGGUUUUCUUUUCUUUUCUUUUCUUUUUCCUCUCCUCCCUUUUCAUUACGAUUCCUUUGCCUGGCAGUGGUCACCGCGCAUCGAAUCCUGCGCUUUUCAUACAAUAAAACCACGAUAAUAAUAAAAGAGAGACAACGAGCGAAUACUUGAAGGGGACCGAGCGGCUCCGGGGCAGUGUUACCAUGGUUGGGUGCGAACUGCAGAGCAAAUAAGGAGAGAGCUGACAAAAGAGGGGAGAAAAAACGCCGUUUUUUUUUCUCCUCCUUUGGGUUUCUGAU
Molecule: long non-coding RNA, 492 nt
Filed under: Gallus gallus (chicken)
Lineage: Eukaryota; Metazoa; Chordata; Aves; Galliformes; Phasianidae
Source: RNAcentral